UAUGUGAUCGUCUCUCGCAUAUCAAUAAGCGGAGGAAAAGAAACUAACAAGGAUUCCCCUAGUAACGGCGAGUGAAGCGGGAAGAGCUCAAAUUUGAAAUCUUAAAGGGUUUCCCUUUACGAAUUGUAGUUUAAAGAAGUGUUUUCUGUUGAGGUUUUGGUAAAAGUUCUUUGGAAUAGGACAUCAUAGAGGGUGAGAAUCCCGUAUUUGACCUUUACUUUCAACUUUGUGAUACACUUUCAAAGAGUCGGAUUGUUUGGGAAUGCAGUCCAAAAUGGGUGGUAAAUUUCAUCUAAAGCUAAAUAUUGGCGAGAGACCGAUAGCGAACAAGUACCGUGAGGGAAAGAUGAAAAGAACUUUGAAAAGAGAGUUAAACAGUACGUGAAAUUGUCAAAAGGGAAGCGUUUGACACCAGUGUUGUUUUUCUGAAAAUCAAUUAAAGAACUGUUUAUGCUAAGUUGUUUAGACUUUAUCAGCUAUCUGUUUAGUUUUGAGCUUUUCUUUAAUGCACUUUUCAGUUAACAAGUCAACAUCAAUUUCUUUUGCUGUAAAAAAGCUUGAGGAAGGUGGCUUGAGAUUCGUCUUAAGUGUUUAUAGCCUCUUGCCUAUGCAGUCGGAGAGAUUGAGGUCUGCAGCGUAGAUCCUUCGGGGCUAAAUGCAUUUGUGCUAAGUUAUAGCAUUUUAUAGACAACUUGUUGACUAUGAUUUGUCUUGUAGCUUACUCGCUUAUGUUAUUUUACCUACGCUUAGGAUGUUGAUCUGUAGUGCGUGCGC
This 774-nucleotide ribosomal RNA is filed under the name uncultured Neocallimastigales. RNAcentral's name for it is "partial large subunit ribosomal RNA". It matches the Rfam family "Eukaryotic large subunit ribosomal RNA", at positions 24 to 646 of the family's 3401-position model. The record is from RNAcentral. Lineage: Eukaryota; Fungi; Neocallimastigomycota; Neocallimastigomycetes; Neocallimastigales.